UUUUAGACUUUCAUACACAGGACCUGGGAGGCCCUACCUAGACCUAGACAUCUAGUAUUAAUUAUAGGACAUAUGUCCAUUGUAUAUCAAUGUUCAACAUAUAUGGUCCUUGUUCAGAUACAUUGAUGAAGGCCCGCUAUCAUAACCUUUGACCCAGAAUUGCAAGCCAGACUCCCAUAUUUAUUAAGAAGGGCCUCUUUCUGAAUCUCUUCAUUUAAACAUGUAUAAAAUCAUUUGUGUAAACUACAUUUUACUCCCAAGUAUUACCAUAUUUAUAAAUACACAAAAACAUGUCUUGCGCUCAAACUCCCACUACUCUUGGGCAUCAGCAACGACCAUAGUACACAUCAGCCUCAAUAGAUACAGGAAAAAACUAAGAAAAAAAGUGUACCAUUUUUAUAAUGUAUGGCUUUAAUCAUAGAUCGGACAGAAUGGUUAUUAACCCACAAACCUUUUUACAAAUCUUAAAGAAUUAAAUAACCUUAUCUGUAUGUGUAUGCCUCCUAAUUAACUGCAUACUUAGACAUAUAAAAGUUUUUUGCAGAUAGAUAUUCACCACCAAUACUAAACGUCAAAAAU
Non-coding RNA from Pelobates cultripes (western spadefoot toad), 579 nucleotides. Lineage: Eukaryota; Metazoa; Chordata; Amphibia; Anura; Pelobatidae. The record is from the annotation of a GenBank genome assembly.